UUCAACCGAAAAAACAAAUGGUAAUCUUGUUAAGCCCAUUAUUGAGCAUCAGGGGAUGAAAAUAUUUGUUUCUAACAUUCGUAAUGGUUAGGAAAAUAUGAAGAGGAUAUAAAUUAAAACAAUUGUAACCUGUAUAUUAAAAUAUUGGUAGAAGAGUCCAAGGGAUGAAAAUUGAAUUGUGACUUAAGAGAUGAAAAAUAUAUUACCGGGAGUUACAAAGUUAACUAUUGUGUAUUUUUGUAUUCUCCUUAUUAUAAUAUAGUAAGC
RNAcentral lists this long non-coding RNA (267 nucleotides) under Trifolium pratense (red clover). RNAcentral describes it as "long non-coding RNA (TPRA_LNC003249)". Lineage: Eukaryota; Viridiplantae; Streptophyta; Magnoliopsida; Fabales; Fabaceae. The record is from RNAcentral.